GACGAACGCGGCGGCGUGCCUAAUACAUGCAAGUAGAACGCUGAAGGAGGAGCUUGCUUCUCUGGAUGAGUUGCGAACGGGUGAGUAACGCGUAGGUAACCUGCCUGGUAGCGGGGGAUAACUAUUGGAAACGAUAGCUAAUACCGCAUAAGAGUAGAUGUUGCAUGACAUUUACUUAAAAGGUGCAAUUGCAUCACUACCAGAUGGACCUGCGUUGUAUUAGCUAGUUGGUGGGGUAACGGCUCACCAAGGCGACGAUACAUAGCCGACCUGAGAGGGUGAUCGGCCACACUGGGACUGAGACACGGCCCAGACUCCUACGGGAGGCAGCAGUAGGGAAUCUUCGGCAAUGGACGGAAGUCUGACCGAGCAACGCCGCGUGAGUGAAGAAGGUUUUCGGAUCGUAAAGCUCUGUUGUAAGAGAAGAAACGAAGUGUGAGAAGUGGAAAAGUUCAC
This 456-nucleotide ribosomal RNA is filed under the name Streptococcus mitis. RNAcentral's name for it is "bacterial SSU rRNA". It matches the Rfam family "Bacterial small subunit ribosomal RNA", at positions 28 to 469 of the family's 1533-position model. Lineage: Bacteria; Bacillati; Bacillota; Bacilli; Lactobacillales; Streptococcaceae. The record is from RNAcentral.